AAAUGAAUAGACGGGGGCCCGCACAAGCGGAGGAACAUGUGGUUUAAUUCGAUGAUACGCGAGGAACCUUACCUGGGCUUAAAUGUAGGUUGCAUUCGGAUGAAAGUCUGAUUUCCUUCGGGACUACCUACAAGGUGCUGCAUGGUUGUCGUCAGCUCGUGCCGUGAGGUGUCGGGUUAAGUCCCAUAACGAGCGCAACCCUCAUUGCCAGUUACCAACACAAUAGGUGGGGACUCUGGCGAAACUGCCGGUGUAAACCGAGAGGAAGGUGGGGAUGACGUCAAAUCAGCACGGCCCUUAUGUCCAGGGCGACACACGUGUUACAAUGGCCAGUACAGAGGGCAGCCACCUGGUGACAGGGCGCUAAUCCCAAAAGCUGGUCUCAGUUCGGAUCGGAGUCUGCAACUCGACUCCGUGAAGCUGGAUUCGCUAGUAAUCGCACAUCAGCCAUGGUGCGGUGAAUACGUUCCCGGGCCUUGUACACACCGCCCGU
This 493-nucleotide ribosomal RNA is filed under the name uncultured bacterium. Its description in RNAcentral is "bacterial SSU rRNA". It matches the Rfam family "Bacterial small subunit ribosomal RNA", at positions 903 to 1397 of the family's 1533-position model. The record is from RNAcentral.